AGGGUUUGAUCAUGGCUCAGAACGUACGCUGGCGGCACGCCUAACACAUGCAAGUCGAACGAAGUAGCAAUACUUAGUGGCAGACGGGUGAGUAACAUGUAGGUAUCUACCCUUUGGCCUGGAAUAACACGAGGAAACUUGUGCUAAUACCGGAUAAGUCUUUACGGAGAAAGCUUUAUGCACCAUUGGAUGAGCCUGCACUUGAUUAGCUUGUUGGUAAGGUAAUGGCUUACCAAGGCUUUGAUCAAUAGCUGAUUUGAGAGGAUGAUCAGCCACAUUGGGACUGAGACACGGCCCAAACUCCUACGGGAGGCAGCAGUGGGGAAUCUUGCACAAUGGAGGAAACUCUGAUGCAGCGAUGCCGCGUGAGUGAAGAAGGCCUUUGGGUUGUAAAGCUCUUUCGUCGGGGAAGAAAAUGACUGUACCCGAAUAAGAAGGUCCGGCUAACUUCGUGCCAGCAGCCGCGGUAAUACGAAGGGACCUAGCGUAGUUCGGAAUUACUGGGCUUAAAGAGUUCGUAGGUGGUUGAAAAAGUUGGUGGUGAAAUCCCAGAGCUUAACUCUGGAACUGCCAUCAAAACUUUUCAGCUAGAGUUUGAUAGAGGAAAGCAGAAUUUCUAGUGUAGAGGUGAAAUUCGUAGAUAUUAGAAAGAAUACCAAUUGCGAAGGCAGCUUUCUGGAUCAUUACUGACACUGAGGAACGAAAGCAUGGGUAGCGAAGAGGAUUAGAUACCCUCGUAGUCCAUGCCGUAAACGAUGUGUGUUAGACGUUGGAAAUUUAUUUUCAGUGUCGCAGCGAAAGCGAUAAACACACCGCCUGGGGAGUACGACCGCAAGGUUAAAACUCAAAUGAAUUGACGGGGACCCGCACAAGUAGUGGAGCAUGUGGUUUAAUUCGAAGAUACGCGCAGAACCUUACCAACACUUGACAUGUUCGUCGCGACUUUAAGAGAUUAAAGUUUUCGGUUCGGCCGGACGAAACACAGGUGCUGCAUGGCUGUCGUCAGCUCGUGUCGUGAGAUGUUGGGUUAAGUCCCGCAACGAGCGCAACCCUCACUUUUAGUUGCCAUCAUUAAGUUGGGCACUCUGAAAGAACUGCCAGUGAUAAGCUGGAGGAAGGUGGGGAUGACGUCAAGUCCUCAUGGCCCUUACGUGUUGGGCUACACACGUGCUACAAUGGUAUUUACAAAAGGAAGCAAGACGGCGACGUUAAGCAAAUCCUUAAAAAAUACCUCAGUUCGGAUUGCACUCUGCAACUCGAGUGCAUGAAGCUGGAAUUACUAGUAAUCGUGGAUCAGCGUGCCACGGUGAAUGCGUUCCCGGGUCUUGUACACACCGCCCGUCACACCAUGGGAGUUGGUUCUACCUUAAGGCAAGGUUUAAAACCCUUGACCACGGUAUAGUCAGCGACUGGGGUGAAGUCAUAACAAGGUAACCGUA
Molecule: ribosomal RNA, 1439 nt
Filed under: uncultured bacterium
Lineage: Bacteria
Description: 16S ribosomal RNA
Rfam family: Bacterial small subunit ribosomal RNA
Source: RNAcentral